UGCCUUUUUGUGUUACCCAUUCAUAGUUUAUUGAGUGAAUGUGGUGUCAACAAAGGCAUACAUAAACAUUU
Small nucleolar RNA from Alosa alosa (allis shad), 71 nucleotides. RefSeq annotates it as small nucleolar RNA SNORA13. The record is from RefSeq and is a predicted model, not a curated record. NCBI's taxonomy places the organism in Eukaryota, Metazoa, Chordata, Actinopteri, Clupeiformes, Clupeidae. The transcript has a single exon.